Lactuca sativa (garden lettuce) is the source of this 5408-nucleotide long non-coding RNA. RefSeq annotates it as retrovirus-related Pol polyprotein from transposon TNT 1-94. NCBI's taxonomy places the organism in Eukaryota, Viridiplantae, Streptophyta, Magnoliopsida, Asterales, Asteraceae. The record is from RefSeq and is a predicted model, not a curated record.
AUAUCGCAUUGUACAAAACUCCAUUUGUAUUUUGAUCCUGAUUCUAUGUGUUGACUAUCUGUUUGAUCCUAAUUUUAAAAAGAGUGAGCGAUCUAAAAAAACCACAGAUCGACGAUGGCAAACGCGAACCCUAGCCCCAUUUUUUUUUUCUCUCGUCAACUCGUGAGUUGUAUAGUGUAGAUGUUUGAAGCCCUGAUCUGAAGCAUUUUAUCAAACUCGACGAAAUAUAAGCUUCUCGCUUGCGAUUACUUGAAGUCUUGAACCAGGUAUCUCAUGCUCACCCCCCUUCUGAUCUUACUCUCUCGGUAUGUACUCCGCCAGCUUCAAAAUUGCAAUUACUCCAAUGUUUUAGUGUUUUAGACUUAAAUUGUGUAGAUUGUAGAUAAUUGAAAGUUGGAAACUAAGAGGAUUUAUAAUUUAGAAUUUCAUAUAUGUAUUUAGAUUUUAGGGCUUGAAACAUAUAUGCAAUUAUAAUAGUUUAGGUGAUUGUUGUGAUGGUGAACCAGUCAACUGUCAACCAGGUUCCUUUUAUGAGUAUAUGUGAUUGUUGUGGCAUUUCCUCAACCAGGUUCCUUUUAUGAGUAUAGGUGAUUAUUGUGGCAUUUCCUUCAUCAUUGGUAUGUCAGUCUUCCGGAUUGCAGAUCCGUUGCACCCUGUGAUUGUGUUCCAACACAUGGUAUUCUAACCGGAUUGCAGAUCCGUUGCACCCUGUGAUUGUCUUCCAACACAUGAUAUUCUAACCCAUUCCAUAUCCACUAAGUUAAGAUAAAAAAAAAAGAACGUGCCCUAAGGCUAGUGUUAGAUUGGUAAAAAUUAUAACAUCCCAACAUAAUUUAUACCCUCUUACCUUAUAAAAGGAGAAUAUGGUAAAUCCUAUCCAAGCAAACAGAAGUGAGAGCCACAUAGUGUGAUUUCUCACAAUGAUUAAGAAAUAUCUUCUUUUAGUGUUCAACACAAGGAUAAAGAUGGUCGCAUCCAAAAUAAUCAAGAAUAAAAUAGUAAUCAAAGUGAAAAUUAUAAACAAGGUGUAUCCUUUGUAUAGAGAAACCUUAGUCUUUACUCCCGAGAAGAAGUUUGUCGUAACAAUCAUGGUUACUAGAAAUGUGAUGAACUUGUAACGUAAGGAACCAGACCUAAGUGUUGAGUUGAGCACCUCCCAACUUGUUGAGCUACGUGAUUGUUCGUCAUUGUGAUCUCAAUCUUUCUCUCUAACUUUAUGUGUGUGUUAGUGUAGAAUGGAGGCGAAAACAGUGAAUAUAAAUAUAGUGAAAUGAAGGAGGAUUUUUAUAAGCCUUUAGGGACAAUAAUUAAAUACGACAAAGGAGGAAAGAACGUUUCUCUCUAACUGGAGAGUCUUUGACCCUCAACCGUCAUGGUGUGUGAGAUUCGACAAAACGUUCUUUCCUCCUUUGACGUAUUCACUUAUUGUCCCUCAAGGCCUAUAAAAACCCUCAUUUUCCAUUUUAUCAUAUCUAUAUUCACUGCUUUCGCGUCCAUUGUACACCAACACACACAACUAGAGAGAAAGAUUGAGAUCGCCAUGGUGAACAAUCAUUUAGCUCAACAAGUUGGCGGACGACCGGUUGGUUACUCACAAUUUCGGGUUCCCCAUACUUUUAGUAACCAUGAUUGCUGCUGCAAAUUUCUUCUGGGAAGUGAAGACCAAGUCUUCUCUAUUCAAAGGGUAUACCAUGUUUAUGAUUCACUUUGAUUAUUGAUUUAUUCUUGAUUAUUUUUGAUGCGACCAUCUUUCUCCUUUGAUGAACAUUAAAAGAAGAAAUAUUUUGGUUAUUGUGAGAAAUUACACUAUGUGGCUUUCACUUCUGUUUGUUUGGAUAUAAUUUACCUUAUUCUCCUUCUACAAGGUGAGAGUGUAUAAAUUCUAGUGGAAUGUUAAAGUUUUUACCACUCUAACACUAACAUUAAUUCACGUUCUUCUCUUUUAUCUCAUCUUUAGUGGAUAUGGGGUGUGUUAGAAUACCAUGUGUUGGAGGACAACCACACGGUGCACCGAAUCUACGAAUCCACAGGGAGAUAUGAUGAAUCUGGAAGACGGAAAUACUAAUGAUGAAGAAGGAAAUGCCAUUGAUGAAGAAGUUGAAAAUCUGGAAUGACGAUAAUAUAACUUAAGGAAGAUUGUUGAUUUAAGUUUUAGAGAUAUAGAUUUAAGUUUUUAAGUUAAAUGAAAUGAAAAUACUAUGCUAAGCAUUUAGGGAAAACGAAAACUAAAAUGACAGCGAUUGAUAUUAACUUAAAAACUUAAAUCUGCAUCUCUAAAACUUAAAUCAACAAUCUUCGUCAAGUUGUAUUAUCUUCAUUUCAGAUUUUUAUAAUCUUAUGUUAUCAUUUUCUUUGUGAAUCUUUUCUUUGAUAUAUAUACAUCAUGUCAUUUUAUUUAUAUAUGAACCAUAUAUAAACAUUAUAAAAAUGUAAAAUAUAAAACACUUUUGGAUUUAUUAAUCUAGCUUCGUCAAUUUAGUUAGUGAUAGUUAAAUUUCAAUCUCUUAAAGUUUAAAAUUUCAAACAUGAGAUAUAAAAAAUGUGUUAAGCAUGCUACUUGAUACAUAAAAUUCUAAUUAGUUUAGAAGUUUAUUGAUUUUUUCUGUAAUUAAAAGAUGGUUGUUUUGUGAGGAAAAUUAUAUUAAGUUUAAAAUUUCAAGAUUAUCGUGAAAUACAAAUAAAUGUAGUAGACAUGUUAUUUGAUACUAACUAGAGCGUUUCCCACUUCACUGCGACAGAGGCAAUCAAUAUUUUGGUGCAUGUUUGAUUAUACAGAUUACAGAACAGAAGCGAGUUGGAAUUAUAAGAAAAUGUUAUGUGCAAUGUAUGUGUUUGGUUAUCAUAAAUGGAAUGGAAUUGGAUUCAAAGGUAAAAAGUGGAUAGCUUUUUAUAUUUCAUUUAUAAAUUAAUUUUUUAGCAUAUGGUAAAUAUAUAGAUAAUUAACUUUUUUAUAAUAUUUAUUUCAAUAUGCAUCAAGUGGAUAGUAAUAAGUAACAUUUGGAGUUCAGACUUCAAAAACAUUGAUUUAAAGGUAACUUGCACCCAUAACUGUAGCAUUGUAAUUACAAAUGCAAAUCGUGUCCACCAUUUCCACUUCAUGUACCUAAUUUGUUAAGUAAUAGAAGAAAUUUUAUAUUAAGCGGCAUCUCUACAAUCUACAUACAUCACUUGAAAAGGAAUAUUUUAUAUUUACAAUCAUUUUUCUAGUUUACCAAUCCAAUGUUCCAAUCAUACAAUUACUCGUAAACAAUCAGAAACAUAGCAUUCUAGUUCAGACAGCUUGAUUGAUUAACAGAAGUUAAGAAAAAUUUACUAAUCCCCCAACCCAAGUAAUGUGUAAAAAUGCGUAAUAAACCAAUUAAUGAGAGGAGGUUGCUACUUAUUGUAUACACCCAAUAUAAUUCUAAAAAAAUAUCAACUUACUUUCAUUUAUUAGUGGAUUAUAACACCUUACUUUCAAAAUCUUUUUUUAGCUUAAAAAUUGGUACACAAAGGGGAAGAAAUGAAAGUUAAGUUGUUACAUAAAAAAAUAUAGUAAAGUUUAUGAUUUUGAAGUAAAAAAAUGCACAUCGGCUUUAGUGUAUUGAAUAUCCACAACAGAGUUAGUAUCGUAACUUAUCAUCCGGAGUCCUUUUCCUUGCCUAUGGUUUAAACGGAUAAAAUUGAUCAUGUUAAUUGAACUCAUUGUCAAUACCUUGUCUAUAAAGAUGAACAAAAUAAAGAAACAUUGUAAAAUACGAUAUACAUAUAUGUAAUGUAUUUUACUAAUUUCCAGAAAACAAAAAAAAAGUAUACAAAAUUUGCAAUUUGUUGCACACAUUUUCUCUGGUAGCAUGUUAAAAUUAAGGCAUUGCAUCGAUGCAAGUUAGUUAGUACAAACGGAACCAAUUAAUUGGUUAUUUUCAUAGUUGAAUGAAUACACAAAUGGUGGCCUAAGUUGUAUCUUUUGAAAAUGUUCUUCAUUAUAUUUACCAUUUUGUUCCUUUCUUCUCUGUGUGUUUUGACGGAAAGAUGAACAGAGGGUAACAGAGUAGACACCCUCGUCUACUGGUAUUCAUAUUCUCAGGUAAAAGAGUAGAAGUCACUACCCAAUUCAAUCUUAAAUUAGAAUUCUUCAGUCUUUUGUAAAUUUUUAUUCAAACCGAUUUUUUUUUUUUCAUGUCUACAAGUCACUUAGCUUUCAAUAAAUUUGGAUUCCAUUUUUUUUUUCGUAUGAUUUGUUUUCUUUUGUCCACAUGAGCUUACCUUUAUUGUUUUUACUCAACUCACAUACAGAAAAAUUAUGAUUUUCCUAUGAUGGAAUAGGCACCCUAAGUGUUUGAUGUAAUGUCCCAAAGAAGGUAGUAUAAGGUUUGACAGAAGGUUUUUUUGGUUCUCAAUGUUUUUUUAAUUUUUGAUGAAAGGGUUUUUCUAAUACUCUUAUACUCCAUGUCGACAAAUCAUUUUACUAGAAUGUUGUGAUCAUCUCUCUGAUUGGAAUGUCCAUCCAUUGGAAAAGUGGUGGUUUCUUAUCAGAAACGAGUGUCAUAAGAGAUGUGUGCAGAGCUUAUAUUGGUUGCUGUAAGCCAUGGUUUUAAAACAAGAUUGGAUUUCAUAUGAGAACUUGUUGAAGCUAACAAGAAAAGAGAAGGAAACCUCGUUACUCUCGAACAAGUGUCUACUUUCUUUCAUAUAUAUAGUUGCUUCUAAUACUAGCAAGACACUCUUGAACAAGAAAAAUCAAUCAAAGGUGAAGGAGUUGAAUUAAUAUGUUGCACUUAAGAACGUGAGUAUGAUUCAAAAUGUGACUACCAAACUUUGCAAUCUCCUAGAAUGAACAGCAAGGAAAAGGAAGCGGUGAGCAAGCCUUGAAUGUGGGAACAACUUUUGGAUCCUAAAUAUAGAGCAUCUUGGGAAGGUUGUGGAGUUGAGCAGAUAUUACUUUCAACAAACCGAGGCGAGUCUCUUCCCGGUAUUACGUGUCGAAGGCACCAAGGCCGACCAAUUAUUUGUUAUGCAAUAUAUUAAUUGUUGUGGGUUGUUUGUUAUGAUUAGGUUGAAAUACACCCAAGGGAGGGGGCCCAAUAUGAUAUGUCGGGUUGAAAUAUACCCUAGGGCGGGGACUACUGUGAAUUGUUGGGUUGAAAUAAACCCUAGGGCGGGAGCCCAUAUUUGUGUUGGGUUGGUACGAACCCUAGGAUUAGGCCCAUUUGUAUGCUUGGUAUGUGUUAUUUAGGAAACUCACUAACUUUUGCUUACAGUUUAUUUGGGUGUUUCGGGUACUUUCGGUACUAAGGGGAAGAGCCCGACUUGAUGUCGCAUCAUUCAUUCUCCAUCAUUUUCCGCAUUUAUUGUUAUGGAUACUCUGAUAUUUUGUUAUGACUUGAUGUAAUGGAUUUAUUUUAAACAAUUAUGAAUGAAAUUCCCAA